GAUGAACGCUGGCGGCGUGCCUAAUACAUGCAAGUCGAGCGAACAGACGAGGAGCUUGCUCCUCUGACGUUAGCGGCGGACGGGUGAGUAACACGUGGAUAACCUACCUAUAAGACUGGGAUAACUUCGGGAAACCGGAGCUAAUACCGGAUAAUAUAUUGAACCGCAUGGUUCAAUAGUGAAAGACGGUUUUGCUGUCACUUAUAGACGGAUCCGCGCCGCAUUAGCUAGUUGGUAAGGUAACGGCUUACCAAGGCAACGAUGCGUAGCCGACCUGAGAGGGUGAUCGGCCACACUGGAACUGAGACACGGUCCAGACUCCUACGGGAGGCAGCAGUAGGGAAUCUUCCGCAAAGGGCGAAAGCCUGACGGAGCAACGCCGCGUGAGUGAUGAAGGUCUUCGGAUCGUAAAACUCUGUUAUUAGGGAAGAACAAAUGUGUAAGUAACUAUGCACGUCUUGACGGUACCUAAUCAGAAAGCCACGGCUAACUACGUG
RNAcentral lists this ribosomal RNA (497 nucleotides) under uncultured bacterium. Its description in RNAcentral is "partial 16S ribosomal RNA". It matches the Rfam family "Bacterial small subunit ribosomal RNA", at positions 28 to 507 of the family's 1533-position model. The record is from RNAcentral.